Pelobates cultripes (western spadefoot toad) is the source of this 619-nucleotide non-coding RNA. The record is from the annotation of a GenBank genome assembly. NCBI's taxonomy places the organism in Eukaryota, Metazoa, Chordata, Amphibia, Anura, Pelobatidae.
CCACUCAUACCUGUUUAAGAUGAACACGCAGUUUGACUGACAGACACACUCUGACACACCCAUUCACUGACAGGCACACACUCUCAGAUUCACUUACAGUGACAUAUGUUCACAUGCACUGACCGACAUAUGACCGACAAACACUGGCAGACACACAUGUUUACUGACACACACACUCACUAACAGAUACAGACAUACACUCACUCGGACACACAGUGACAGACAUGCACACAUUCACUGACAGACAGAAACACACACAUUCACUGACAGACACACACACACACACACACUCACUGACAGACACACACACAGAUUCACCCUGAUACUGACACAUUUACACACUUACAAAAGUAUUAUAGAUAUUUUAAAAAUAUUAAUUUUAAUCCACCCAACCUACCUUUGGGAGAGCUGGAGUGGAUUCUUCCCCCCAGUGGAGCUGGCUGCUGGGCUGCUGGGAUGGUGGCUGGCUAGGCUGGCUUGCUGCUGCUCUGGCUGGGCUUGCUGGGUGGCAGGACGUGCAGGCUUUCAGUUGUGCCAGCAAGGGAGCUGUAAUCCUCCUGCUCAGCUCCCUUGCGUGCCGCUCAGUGGAUGACGGGAGCUGGGUGGCAUCAUAUCCAGC